GUGAGGAAUAUUGGUCAAUGGAGGCAACUCUGAACCAGCCAUGCCGCGUGAAGGAUGAAGGUCCUCUGGAUUGUAAACUUCUUUUAUAGAAGAAGAAACCCCAGUAUUCUUACUGGGUUGACGGUACUCUAUGAAUAAGCACCGGCUAACUCCGUGCCAGCAGCCGCGGUAAUACGGAGGGUGCAAGCGUUAUCCGGAUUCACUGGGUUUAAAGGGAGCGUAGGUGGGUUGGUAAGUCAGCGGUGAAAUCCCCGAGCUUAACUCGGGAACUGCCAUUGAUACUAUCAAUCUUGAAUACUGUGGAGGUAAGCGGAAUAUAUCAUGUAGCGGUGAAAUGCUUAGAUAUGAUAUAGAACACCGAUAGCGAAGGCAGCUUACUACGCAGUGAUUGACACUGAGGCUCGAAAGCGUGGGGAUCAAACAGGAUUAGAAACCCUGGUAGUCC
Molecule: ribosomal RNA, 445 nt
Filed under: uncultured bacterium
Lineage: Bacteria
Description: bacterial SSU rRNA
Rfam family: Bacterial small subunit ribosomal RNA
Source: RNAcentral